This 746-nucleotide ribosomal RNA is filed under the name uncultured bacterium. RNAcentral describes it as "bacterial SSU rRNA". It matches the Rfam family "Bacterial small subunit ribosomal RNA", at positions 72 to 809 of the family's 1533-position model. The record is from RNAcentral.
UGAAGUAGCAGUACCAUCGAUGACGACCGGCCCCCGAAAGAGUUACACGUAUGCAAUCUGCCUUCUACACCGGGAUAGCCCGUCGAAAGACGGAUUAAUACCAGAUAAAACAGGGAUACCGCAUGGUAAUAUGUGUUAAAGAUUUAUCGGUAGAAGAUGAGCAUGCGUUCCAUUAGCCAGUUGGUGAGGUAACGGCUCACCAAAGCAACGAUGGAUAGGGGAACUGAGAGGUUUAUCCCCCACACUGGUACUGAGACACGGACCAGACUCCUACGGGAGGCAGCAGUGAGGAAUAUUGGUCAAUGGACGCAAGUCUGAACCAGCCAAGUCGCGUGAAGGAUGACUGCCCUACGGGUUGUAAACUUCUUUUGUACUAGAGUAAAACAUAGGACGUGUCCUAUCUUGCAAGUAUAGUACGAAUAAGCAUCGGCUAACUCCGUGCCAGCAGCCGCGGUAAUACGGAGGAUGCGAUCGUUAUCCGGAUUUAUUGGUUUUAAAGGGUGCGUAGGCGGUCUAUUAAGUCAGCGGUGAAAGUUUGAGGCUCAACCUUAAAAUUGCCGUUGAAACUGGUUGACUUGAAUAUAUUUGAAAUAGGCGGAAUUCGAGGUGUAGCGGUGAAAUGCAUAAAUAUCACGAAAAAACUCCGAUUGCGCAAGCUGCUUACUAAACUAUAACUGACCCUGAGGCACGAAAACGUGGGUAUCAAACAGGAUUAGAUAUCUCUGGUACUCCCACGCCGUAAACGA